Parus major (Great Tit) is the source of this 5648-nucleotide long non-coding RNA. RefSeq lists it as uncharacterized. Lineage: Eukaryota; Metazoa; Chordata; Aves; Passeriformes; Paridae. The record is from RefSeq and is a predicted model, not a curated record. The transcript is spliced from 11 exons.
UCAUUUUAAAACUGGCAAAAUUUAAUCUCUUGCAAAAAACACACAACAAAAAUCUAUCGUUAGGAGUUGAGGAAAUCUGUCCUGAUAGAGCUUAAGGUACUUGGAAAGCAAAAGCACCUGGCUAUUGAACUGCAAACGAGCAGAACCCCGCUUUCAGAGCAGGACAUGCGGCCCACGCUCUGCGCCCCCGGCGAAGGCGCUGCCGGCGGCCCGGGCGGCUCCGGCUCUCGCCGCGCUGCGGACGGCAGAACCCGGGACACCGGGAUAUCGGAGAGCAAGCGACUGGGGAAACUAACUGAAUCCUCCACUGGUUUGUUUCACUGCUGGCAAUUUUCUUAAUUCUCUUAUAUGUAAGAACACAGCUCAGAAAAAAUCUGUAAAGGACCUAUGCAUAACUGCUGAGUUUUACAGGUCUCAUCCUCUCAGGAAGUAGAGCAUCUCUAUUGCACUUAAGAAGCUGAGGCAAUAGAGCCCAAAAAUACUGAGACAGCACCAGUGAUCUGAAUCUUGAAAUUUUAUUCUCUGAUUCAACGUGUUACAAACAAACAUAUUCCACCUGUUACAACAAUCUGGCAUAUUACUUCCUUGAUACGUGAUGAUACAAUACCUCUCAGGUUUGCUGAGUAGCAAAGAGAAAUUGAGAGUACUGCUGGAACAGCAAUUUAACUUCCAGGAAAAUUCAGCAGAUCUUUUGAGACUUAAAGCAUGUGAGAAGUCAGGCACUGUCCAAAAAGAUUUCAAAUAAAAACUUACUUUUCACAGAUAUUAAAGGAAAUACAAAACUAAAAUGCAAGGUACUUUCAGAUUUUGUGAGUGUAGAACUGUGGAGAGAAUAUUCCAAUCUGAGCAGCAGCACAGUUAUCCAUGAGUACACUUACAGCCUGAAUUAAAGUGAAAUCCACUUGUCAGAAGGCUUCUUAUGCUGCCUGCAUUAUAGUGUGCCAUUUAUUAGAAUUAAUUGCCAUCGGUGGAGGAUCAGAGUGACAGCUAAACCUGUGUGUGUUUGACACAGAGCAACCCCUCUUCUGCAAACUGAAGUCUACUGUGCUGGAAUAGGUACAGCCUUGAAUCUCGAGUUACUAUUACAGAGUGAAUUUUGAGAUUUGUAAUUUAUUCUGGUUUAGGUUAUAAUUUUCCUAAGUAUGACAAAAGUAACUAAAUCACAUGAUUUACAAUGCAAAGCUAACACAGCAGGAAUUAUAUCUGCCUACAUAAUUAAUAACCAAUGUACACUGUCUUCAUAUAGCACGGAGUACAAUACUUAAUAUAAACAUCAUGUUGGAUUUUGGAGAAUAUUUAAACACUUUGACCUACAGAUCUAUUUUUUGUGGUGGGUGGUCAUGCUUAUAAACUCACCGAUUCAGUCAUUUACAGAAUGGAAGGUUCACACACACACAUACCCACACACCCCAAAAAUUAAACUGAUUUUUGUUUUCAAAUUGAACGAAAGAGAAUGUUUCAUUUACUUUCUUAGAUCUACCCACUUGUAUCUUUCUCUCUUAAUUUUUUUUGUCCACACUUGUGCCAUCCAUUAUAUAUUUGGUCACCCUGAUAGUGCUUUUGAAUUAUAAAGCCACACUAGAUACUACAUGUGAAAUGUGAUUAUUGACUUGCUAAUUUGAGAUCACUGUUAUUUGUACUUCAUUGCGUCAUUUGAGAGUUGCAAUUUAGGAGGACGAAAUUUCUGAAUUUUUUGCCCAAAAAGAAACAGAUUUUCUGGUGAAAUCUAAACAGAAACAUUAGUAUCAGAAUUUAAUAUCAAUAUUGUGAUAUCUAGAUUGAGAUCAUAGCUAGAAGGCAGAAAGAGAGAGACUGCUUUCCACACAUAUCCUUUCCUGUACAAGUCUAUACUAUCUCACAUUUUUUUGAAGGCUUAUUUAAUUCAUGUUGGCAUUCACCAACAUUUGAUAAACAUGUCACUCCUCACCAGGUGUUCUAACUGAAAACAGAGAUGGACGAAAUAUAUUCCACAGUCUGCUUGUAACAGGGGUCCACUACUUUAAUGGAAAUGUAAAAAUCAUGUUUGUAAAAAUAUUUGCAAAGUAAUCAAUGAAAAUAAAUAUGAUGAAAGGAUGCCUAAAUUAAUUUACAUAUUUUUGUGCAAAGUUCUUUUUCCUAAAUAGAUUAAUUUUUGUGUACUGGAAGCUGCUUUUGCAUGUUAGGUAAUUUUUUCUCUUCUGUGUUUUUUUCUUGAGGGCAGUUUGAUGAUCAGUAAACAUCAUAGGAUAAAUAUUGUGGCUGUGUCUGUCUACGAGAAAUCAACCAAGAAUUCUAACAAUUCUGUUCUAAAUACUGUUCUUAAAGAUAUAAUCCAUAGAGAGAAUCUACUUAAUCUGACAAACAUGAUUUCAAUUCAGGAAAUAGCUCACAAUCUUUCUACUGCAUCUGACAUCAGUGGUAUCCACACAGCCAUUCUGUGCAAACUCCCUGCUUUAAAGGUCUUCCCAUCACUGUUAUUGGUCUCACAGAUGAUGAAGUAUGACACUCCAUAAACAAUGAGCUGGGCCUUUUGUAGGCUGCUUUGCUUUUUUUGGCUUCAAACUGCCACUGAAUGUCAAAUCAAUUUGGCUUUCAUUAGAACAGCUUUAUAUGUGCAAAUGUAUUUGUGUCUGGUUGCUACUUUUUUCUAUUUUUGCUUUCUUUCCCUUUGCUUUUUUUUUCUCCUUUCCCUUGAAUGAUGUAAUUUUUCUCUAAUCAAAGCCAACACCUGUUUCUCUAAAAUAGGAGCCUCUGUGUAAAGCUCUUUAUCACAAUCUGAGUACACUCUAGAUGGGCUCAUUAUGAAUCAAGUUCUCUCAGAACAAAGAGGAAGUGCUCUGCUACAGUGACAUUGUACAUCAUAAAGCCUGGAUAAAGUCAAGAGCUGAUGUAACCUUGACUUUUGACAUGCCAAGAGACUGUUGUCUAGAUAAUGCAAGGUCCUGCAUUACACCCUCGGUGGUGGGAGAUAUGUUUUAAUGUCCCACACAGGAUGAGGUAUAGCACCACCAGCUACCAAAACCAGCAACCAAGAGGAAGGCACACAAGAAGGCUGCUGAUUUUUGUUCUGAAAUACGAAACUAAAAAUUCCGCUAGUGCCUCAAGGCAUUAUUUCUGCUGUGGGGAGGAAACAGAAGAAAUAGGUAUUGUGUAAAGUGAUUCUUCAUUCACUCAAAACAACGCUCAUAAAGAAAAAAAAAUGGAUGGUGAAAGAAAUUAUAUCCUCCCUUAAUUUGACACUUAGAAAGUCUUAGAGAUAUCCAUUCUUUGCUAUCAUUUGGAAGAAAGAUCAAUUUUGAAGAUUUUUCUGGGUAACUGAGAGAAAUUUCACCAAGACUAAGCAACUGGUGGAACCUGACUGAAAAUGUUGUCUUAGGAAGUGUCCCUGUGUCAGAAGGCUGUCAGAAUGUCCUGAGUUGGAAGGAUGUGGGAAAAGACCAUUGAAGCCUGUCCCUGGUACUGUGAAGAAAAAUCCCAAGAAACACACCCUGUGCCAUAUUCCAGGAGCAACAUAGAAGUAGAGGAUUCUGCAUUUCCUGUUCUAGAGAAUUGAAAGAGUUUUGGAGAAACAUAUGUAAGAGUCUUGAAGCCACUAUAUUUUCUUAAGCUGAAAAAGUUUCAAAAUAUAAAGACUUGAAAGAUCAUGGACAUUAUCCACUUUUGCUACUCCAUGAGUGAUCAUAUUAUUUCCUAUGUAUGCGGAAAGAUAGAGGAUGAAAGGUAACAUAGAUUUAAUAAGUGUCAAGUAUCUAUUUGAUAUUAAGUAUUUAUGCAGUAUACCACACCAUGGCAUUUCUACCAAAAACUGAAAACGAAAGAAAAUAUCAGGUGUUUUGGGUUUUUUUUUGGUCAAACUUCUUGCAUAAAAAUUAAAAUAUCAGAAUGAUAAAUAUUAUUGUGUGUCUAAAAAAUGGUUCACUUAUCAGAAAUAUGCUGUGAACUGGCAUUAGUAUUUUUUUAUUCAUGUAUUUUUACUGUAUUCCUUCAAAGCCUUUCUUAAAAUGUGUUAUGUCCUGUAGCUGAUGAUAAAAUGGGAAACAAAACAGAAAAAAUACAUCAUGUAUAUUUUCUGACAUCUGGGGUUAUGAAAGCACAUCACAACAAAUUUAAAACAGAUCCUUGGUACAAUUUCAUCGCCAUUACCCAUCUCCAUUACAACAAAACUUCCAACAUCAAGAAAUAAAGAUUGUCAUUAUCUUUGGCUUUGAUUCAACACCAAAAUGAUAUGCUGAAGACUGAAUAUAAAAUCUUCUGAAGAAAUAGGAAGAGAAGCCAGAUCUUCAGAUUCCUAAUAUGUCUUAACACAUGAAUCCUUCCUUCAUCACCCUGCUCAACAGUGAUGCCUUACAGAUGAACAACUGAGCUGUGAUUAAAUAGCUUAUAGACUUUUCAGCAUUUGUAUCUUUUUUUUUUUUUUAUCUUUUCAUUAUACAAGUCUGCCAUAGCAUAUAUUAGCACUAGGAAAAUAUAGGAAUUAGAAAUGCAGAGUCAAACAUGUUUAAAAUGCACUAUGUGUGUGGCAGAUCACAAUUUCUAGAAAUGUUCAGUGCUGUAAGGUCUGUAUAGUUCUUCCUUUAUCCAACAUCUAUUUAUCCAGUCAUUGAUUACUUCAAAUCAACUUGGAUAUGAACAUACUAUUAGGCAUGAUCCCAAACCUGCACAUACUUGGCUCAAAUUACCUCAGAACCAUACUGAAAACAAACUCAUCAGUAAGAAUUGAGACUGUUACUGCUUCAGUCAAAAGAAAUUGAGGACCAGGCAGGGGUUUUGUAUAUUACAAAGAAGGUUAUGCAUCUCUGGCCAUGUACAAACAAAAUUAAAGUGAUGCUGUAAUUAGCUCGUUGAUAAAUCAAUAGGAGUGAACAAUAACUAGCAUAGUUUGGAUGUCAAGAAUCCAGAAGCUUAUUAUGUGUGUAAUAAAAUAAAGAUCAAGACACGUAAGUUAGAGGUCACAGCUUUACUUAUGUCUGCUAGUUUCUUCUCCUUUCACAAAACCAUCCCUCUUCUCGUUUAAUCAUGAAAGCUAGAAUAAGUUCUUUUGUCAUUCAACCAUUUAGAAAAACCCCCUGAUGACUGAAUUUCUUUAUCAUUUAUAUCAACUUUGAGCCUGAACCAGAAAUUGUAGUGAUGUAGCUGUCAGUCGCCCCUUGCCCAGACACAGGUAUGUUACAAGUAAAGUUUGUUAGUGCAGAUUUUGUCAUUCCAUGUGUGUAAAGUAACACAGUAAUGCAUGCUUCCAUAUCAGAAAGUGUGUUAGCCUUUGAUGUACUUCUUCCUCAGUACAUGACUCAUUAAUUUAAUAGCUCAUAACACUCCAUUAUGUUAGUCCAGCUAUGACAUGUUCUGUAGUGUAUGUAUGAAAGGUUAUUAUGGAAUGUUUGCUUGAAAAAAUAAUGCUGUAUUUAAACAUAAGAAGAAUUAGAAAUAGCAUUCUGUUACCUUUUAACAUGUAAAAAUUUUAUUGGUCAUGAAUUUGUAUACCGUUUUAGACAUAAAAGAGAUUCUAUUAUUGAUUCUGUAUUCUUGAAACAAAAAUGCUGAAUACCAAUUUUUUAUAUAGUCAUUUCUUUCACUGUCCAUUUGAGUCAGUUUCUGUUAUUAUGGAUUUCAACAUGUAUGUCACCAAGUAAUGACUUUAAUUGAGAAAGAAUAAACAGUGGUCACACAAA